AAAGCGUGCGCAGGCGGUUAUGUAAGACAGUUGUGAAAUCCCCGGGCUCAACCUGGGAACCGCAUCUGUGACUGCAUAGCUAGAGUACGGCAGAGGGGGAUGGAAUUCCGCGUGUAGCAGUGAAAUGCGUAGAUAUGCGGAGGAACACCGAUGGCGAAGGCAAUCCCCUGGGCCUGCACUGACGCUCAUGCACGAAAGCGUGGGGGGCAAACAGGAUUAGAUACCCUGGU
RNAcentral lists this ribosomal RNA (230 nucleotides) under uncultured bacterium. RNAcentral's name for it is "partial 16S ribosomal RNA". It matches the Rfam family "Bacterial small subunit ribosomal RNA", at positions 562 to 791 of the family's 1533-position model. The record is from RNAcentral.